Molecule: ribosomal RNA, 253 nt
Filed under: uncultured bacterium
Lineage: Bacteria
Description: partial 16S ribosomal RNA
Rfam family: Bacterial small subunit ribosomal RNA
Source: RNAcentral
UACAGAGGUCUCAAGCGUUGUUCGGAUUCAUUGGGCGUAAAGGGUGCGUAGGUGGCGGGGCAAGUCGGAUGUGAAAUCUCAGGGCUCAACCCUGAAACUGCAUUCGAUACUGCCUUGCUCGGGGACUGGAGAGGAGAUUGGAAUUCACGGUGUAGCAGUGAAAUGCGCAGAUAUCAGGAGGAACACCGAUGGCGAAGGCAGUGUUCUGGGCCAGUACUGACGCUGAGGAGCGAAAGCGUGGGGAGCAAACAGG